This 242-nucleotide ribosomal RNA is filed under the name uncultured bacterium. RNAcentral describes it as "partial 16S ribosomal RNA". It matches the Rfam family "Bacterial small subunit ribosomal RNA", at positions 89 to 334 of the family's 1533-position model. The record is from RNAcentral.
CGUCGAGUGGCGGACGGGUGAGUAAUACUUAGGAAUCUACCCAGUAGCGGGGGACAACACGGGGAAACUCGUGCUAAUACCGCAUACGCCCUACGGGGGAAAGUGGAGGAUCUUCGGACUUCACACUAUUGGAUGAGCCUAAGUCGGAUUAGCUUGUUGGUGGGGUAAUGGCCUACCAAGGCGACGAUCCGUAGCUGGUCUGAGAGGACGAUCAGCCACACUGGGACUGAGACACGGCCCAG